AUCACAGGGGGAUAGCCUUUGGAAACAGGGAUUAAUACCGCAUAAAGCAGGGGCUCCGCAUGGAGAUAUUGCUAAAGAUUUAUCGGUGAUAGAUGGGCAUGCGUCUGAUUAGUUAGAUGGUGGGGUAACGGCCUACCAUGGCGAUGAUCAGUAGGGGGCGUCAGAGCGUGGUCCCCCACACUGGCACUGAGAUACGGGCCAGACUCCUACGGGAGGCAGCAGUAGGGAAUAUUGGGCAAUGGAUGCAAGUCUGACCCAGCCAUGCCGCGUGCAGGAAGAAGGUCCUCUGGAUUGUAAACUGCUUUUUUGGGGGAAGAAGAGACACCUUGCGAGGUGUUGUGACGGUACCCUAAGAAUAAGCCACGGCUAACUACGUGCCAGCAGCCGCGGUAAUACGUAGGUGG
This 404-nucleotide ribosomal RNA is filed under the name Runella sp. RNAcentral describes it as "bacterial SSU rRNA". It matches the Rfam family "Bacterial small subunit ribosomal RNA", at positions 132 to 534 of the family's 1533-position model. Lineage: Bacteria; Pseudomonadati; Bacteroidota; Cytophagia; Cytophagales; Spirosomataceae. The record is from RNAcentral.